This 386-nucleotide long non-coding RNA is filed under the name Homo sapiens (human). RNAcentral's name for it is "non-protein coding lnc-MAP1LC3B2-32:1". Lineage: Eukaryota; Metazoa; Chordata; Mammalia; Primates; Hominidae. The record is from RNAcentral.
GGGAGAGCUGGAGAGAGGGAAACAGGGUGAAGAGGCAGGAAUCUGGCUCGCAUUAAGCUGGGAGGUUCCAACCAUUGAUUCGCUCUGGAAUUAUGGCUUAAAAAAAUUGCAAGACAUGGUUUAUUCAUGAGGGUUCUUUUUUUUUCUUAAGUAGCCACCCAAAGUUACACUUUGGUUCACCAAGACGAAGACUCAUCCUUCCUCUCUCUAUGGAUCUUUCAGAUGAAGAAAUUAAGGCUCAGGAGGGAGGAAAAAAAUAAAAGAAAGAAUUGUCCAAGGUCACCAAGGCAUCUGGACUCCCAUAUGUUGAGCUACUUCUGCUUGUGGGGCAGCUGCAAUACAUGAAUUCUUCACUACGUUCACGAGUGCCCUGAAUUCCAUCCACA